This 254-nucleotide ribosomal RNA is filed under the name uncultured bacterium. RNAcentral's name for it is "partial 16S ribosomal RNA". It matches the Rfam family "Bacterial small subunit ribosomal RNA", at positions 524 to 776 of the family's 1533-position model. The record is from RNAcentral.
UACGUAGGGAGCGAGCGUUGUCCGGAUUUAUUGGGCGUAAAGAGCUCGUAGGCGGCUCAGUAAGCCGGGUGUGAAACCUCCAGGCUCAACUUGGAGAGGCCAUUCGAAACUGCUGUGGCUAGAGUCUGGUAGGGGAACAUGGAAUUCCUGGUGUAGCGGUGAAAUGCGCAGAUAUCAGGAGGAACACCAGUGGCGAAGGCGGUGCUCUGGGCCGGAACUGACGCUGAGGAGCGAAAGCGUGGGGAGCGAACAGG